CAGUAGCCGCGGUAAUACGGAGGGUGCAAGCGUUAAUCGGAAUUACUGGGCGUAAAGCGCACGCAGGCGGUCUGACAAGUCAGAUGUGAAAUCCCCGGGCUUAACCUGGGAACUGCAUUUGAAACUGUCAGGCUGGAGUCUUGUAGAGGGGGGUAGAAUUCCAGGUGUAGCGGUUAAAUGCGUAGAGAUCUGGAGGAAUACCGGUGGCGAAGGCGGCCCCCUGGACAAAGACUGACGCUCAGGUGCGAAAGCGUGGGGAGCAAACAGGAUUAGAUACCCGCGAGUCCCUGUCUCUUAUACA
This 301-nucleotide ribosomal RNA is filed under the name uncultured bacterium. RNAcentral's name for it is "partial 16S ribosomal RNA". It matches the Rfam family "Bacterial small subunit ribosomal RNA", at positions 509 to 808 of the family's 1533-position model. The record is from RNAcentral.